CUGGUUGAUCCUGCCAGUGGUCAUAUGCUCGUCUCAAAGACUAAGCCAUGCAUGUCCAAGUUCACAUCAAUUUGAUGAAACUGCGAAGCGCUCAGUAAAUCAGUUAUAGUCUAUUCGAUGGUAUACAUAGUGGAUAACUGUGGUAAAUCUAGAGCUAAUACGUGCUAAUAUGCAUUUACUAGCUAGAAACCAACAAGUUGAAUCUAGGUAAAUCGCGAAUCGUAUGGCGCAAGCCGACGAUAAUUCGAUCGAGUUUCUGCUCUAUUAACUAGUUGGUGAGUUCUUUGCUCACCAAGGUGUUAAUGGAUAACGGGGAAUUAGGGUUCGAUUCCGGAGAGGGAGCCUGAGAAACGGCUACCACAUCUAAGGAAGGCAGCAGGCGCGCAAAUUACCCAAUCCAGACAUUGGGAGGUAGUGACGAGAAAUACCGGAGUUAACCUUUUAGGUAAACUAUCGGAAUGAACAUAAUUUAAUACCUUUGUUGAGUAUCUAUUGGAGGGCAAGUCUGGUGCCAGCAGCCGCGGUAAUUCCAGCUCCAAUAGUGUAUAUCAAUAUUGCUGCAGUUAAAAAGCUCGUAGUUGAAUUACAAAGGAUAUUGUCAGAGUAUGUUUUAUAUCAAUAAAAUAUUCUCAUUCAAUUUCCUUUUUAUCGUAAGAGCUAGUAAUGAAAUUCACUUUUUGUUGCUAGUGACUUGCGGAGUGUGCCUUGAAUAAAGCAAAGUGCUCAAUACAAGCGUCCGCUCGAAUGUAGUAGCAUGGUACGAAUAUCGGUGACGCCAAUCCGUGUUGGUUUUGGAUUGGUGUCUAGAUUAAAAGGGACAUUUGAGGGCGUUAGUACUUGGUGGCGAGAGGUGAAAUUCUUAGACCCACCAAAGACUCACUAAUGCGAAAGCGUUCGCCAAGACUGUUUUCAUUAAUCAAGAACGAAGGUUGGAGGUUCGAAGACGAUCAGAUACCGUCGUAGUUCCACACAGUAAACAAUGCCAACUUGAAUUCAGCGUGUAUAAUCAUAUACGUUGGCUUCUCCGGGAAACCAAGUCUUCGGGCUCUGGGGAUAGUAUAGUUGCAAGUCUGAAAUUUAAAGAGAUUGACGGAAGGGCACCACCAGGAGUGGAGCCUGCGGCUUAAUUUGACUCAACACGGGGAAACUCACCAGGUCCGGACAUCGAUAGGAUUGACAGAAUGACAGAUCUUUCAUGAUACGGUGAUUGGUGGUGCAUGGCCGUUCUUAGUUGGUGGAGUGAUCUGUCAGGUUAAUUCCGGUAACGAGCGAGACCACAAUCUCUAAUUGAUUACAUUCCCACUUAUUUCGGGAUUGAUCUUAGAGAGACUACCAAGUUCAACUUGGGGGAAGUGUGGCAAUAACAGGUCUGUGAUGCCCUUCGAUGUUCUGGGCUGCACGCGCGCUACAAUGGCAGCAGCAAAUAGUUGUUUGCUCGAAAGAGUAGACUAAUCAUUAAUUGCUGUCGUGAUCGGGAUUGAGCCUUGUAAUUAUUGCUCAUGAAAGUGGAAUUCCUCGUAAGCGCAAGUCAUCAACUUGUGUUGAAUACGUCUCUGCCCUUUGUACACACCGCCCGUCGCUACUACCAAUUGAAUGAUUCUGCGAGAUCUCAGGAGAGCUAGUACUUGUACCGGCUUGAUCGAGCUCAAGUAGAAUCCUUUAAAGGAAGUAAAAGUCGUAACAAGGUUUCCGUAGGUGAACCUGCGGAAG
This 1710-nucleotide ribosomal RNA is filed under the name Enteromyxum leei. RNAcentral describes it as "SSU rRNA". It matches the Rfam family "Eukaryotic small subunit ribosomal RNA". Lineage: Eukaryota; Metazoa; Cnidaria; Myxozoa; Bivalvulida; Enteromyxidae. The record is from RNAcentral.